UUGGGCCAUGGGGUAAGGAAGGGAAAGGAUACUUUUGUCCUAAAAAACUGGUGGAAAAUACUCUACAAGCUGUGGAUUUGGUGCAUCAUUUGUUGGAUUUAAAGACAUAAAGACGACUAACCGAGGUUUUUACCAAUUGUUGUUGAGUCACUGCUUGGUCAUGAUAUCACAAUGAUAGCCUGUGAAGGAUCACACGCAAUAGCACUUAACAGUAAGGGUCAAGUUUUUUCGUGGGGCACAAGUCCUCAAGCUUGUCUUGGUCAUGGUAACUUUAGAGACAGGUACUCUCCAUUAAUGAUUGAUAGACCACUGAGAGAUGUUAAUGUGGUUCAUGUGGCCUGCUAUGAGAAUCAUUGAGCAGUUAUAUCAGGAUAGUCCAGGUUGCUUGUGGCAGGUCAUAUACUAGUUAUUGAUGAAGAAGGAAGAGUCUAUUCUUUUGGUAUUAAUAAAUUUGAAGAGUUAAGGCCGAGGACACGAUGAAGCUAUAACCAAGCCCACAAUGGUGGCCAACCUGGUCUAGCUCCAUUUGUAAAGUAUCCUGUGGCCGAUAUCAUUCUGCUUCUAUGGAUGAGGAUGCCGUAUUGUUUAUGUGGGGCUGGGGAGCAAGAAGCCAGCUGGGACAAGAUGAACAAAAGUCACUGUUGAGUCCUACUCCUGUUAAUGGAUUUAAUGAGCAACCUCUGGAGGAUGUGAGUUGUAGUUAUGGUCACACUGCAGCUAUUACUGCCAACGAUGUUGCUUACUGUUGGGAUGACAAUGCUAGAGGUCAGUGAGGAGUACCCUCUAGUGUUUAUAGUGAACUCUCCAGUCCUCGUGGUAUUGUUCUUCCCUCUGGGAUAAGACCCACUCAGAUCAACUGUGGAGCUAAUUUCACUGUACUCAUUACUUCAAUAGGACAGCUCUUCAUGUGAGGCUAUAUCAUGAGUGGACAGUUGGAGGAUGGAGAGGCCAAGAAAACCUUGCCAGUCAAGUGAUGGGAUUGUAUCUUCAAAUUUUCCAUGAUAUAUUCCAAGUUUCAAUGGACAGUAUUCAUUAGUCAAUGAGACAAUCAUGUCACAAAGAUUAUACUUAGCAUCCACAAAAGUUUCAAUGGGCAGUACACACCAGACUCACCAGUAGCAGUCAGAGAAGAUAUAAUAUCACAAAGAUUAUACUUGGCGUCUUCAAUAGCA
RNAcentral lists this long non-coding RNA (1172 nucleotides) under Amphimedon queenslandica. Its description in RNAcentral is "uncharacterized LOC105314524, transcript variant X2". Lineage: Eukaryota; Metazoa; Porifera; Demospongiae; Haplosclerida; Niphatidae. The record is from RNAcentral.